CGGCGUGUAGCUCAAUGGGAGAGCUGGCAGUUUAUAACUGCCCGACCGUGGUUCGAAUCCACGCACGCCGA
RNAcentral lists this transfer RNA (71 nucleotides) under Acidobacteriota bacterium. RNAcentral describes it as "tRNA-Ile". It matches the Rfam family "tRNA". Rfam says of the family: Transfer RNA (tRNA) molecules are approximately 80 nucleotides in length. Their secondary structure includes four short double-helical elements and three loops (D, anti-codon, and T loops). Further hydrogen bonds mediate the characteristic L-shaped molecular structure. tRNAs have two regions of fundamental functional importance: the anti-codon, which is responsible for specific mRNA codon recognition, and the 3' end, to which the tRNAs corresponding amino acid is attached (by aminoacyl-tRNA synthetases). tRNAs cope with the degeneracy of the genetic code in two manners: having more than one tRNA (with a specific anti-codon) for a particular amino acid; and 'wobble' base-pairing, i.e. permitting non-standard base-pairing at the 3rd anti-codon position. Lineage: Bacteria; Pseudomonadati; Acidobacteriota. The record is from RNAcentral.